This 433-nucleotide ribosomal RNA is filed under the name uncultured bacterium. Its description in RNAcentral is "partial 16S ribosomal RNA". It matches the Rfam family "Bacterial small subunit ribosomal RNA", at positions 29 to 507 of the family's 1533-position model. The record is from RNAcentral.
AACGAACGCUGGCGGCAUGCCUAACACAUGCAAGUCGAACGAGACCUUCGGGUCUAGUCGCGCACGGGUGCGUAACGCGUGGGAACCUGCCCUUAGGUUCGGAAUAACUCCCCGAAAGGGGUGCUAAUACCGGAUAAUGUCUUCGGACCAAAGAUUUAUCGCCUUUGGAUGUGCCCGCGUUGGAUUAGCUAGUUGGUAGGGUAAAAGCCUACCAAGGCGACGAUCCAUAGCUGGUCUGAGAGGAUGAUCAGCCACACUGGGACUGAGACACGGCCCAGAAUCCUACGGGAAGCAGCAGUGGGGAAUAUUGGACAACGGGGGAAAGCAUGAUCCAGCAAGGCCGGGUGAGUGAUGAAGGCCUUAGGGAUGUAAAGCUCUUUUACCCGGGAUGAUAAUGACGGUACCGGGAGAAUAAGCUCCGGCUAACUCCGUG